This 99-nucleotide microRNA precursor is filed under the name Olea europaea subsp. europaea. The record is from RNAcentral. Lineage: Eukaryota; Viridiplantae; Streptophyta; Magnoliopsida; Lamiales; Oleaceae.
GUUUGAUCUGGAGUUUCCUCAAAACACCUAUAAGAAGCUCACAUUAGCUAAGGGUAUCAGUAGUCAUACUAAAGUUUUUGGGGGAACUCUGGGUGUCAC